This 293-nucleotide ribosomal RNA is filed under the name uncultured bacterium. Its description in RNAcentral is "partial 16S ribosomal RNA". It matches the Rfam family "Bacterial small subunit ribosomal RNA", at positions 505 to 796 of the family's 1533-position model. The record is from RNAcentral.
GUGCCAGCAGCCGCGGUAAUACGGAGGGUCCGAGCGUUGUUCGGAAUUACUGGGCGUAAAGCGCACGUAGGCGGCUGGGUAAGUCUCACUGUGAAAGCCCGGGGCUCAACCCCGGGAGGCCAGGGGAUACUGCUCGGCUGGAGACAGGCAGAGGCUGGUGGAAUUCCGGGUGUAGCGGUGGAAUGCGUAGAGAUCCGGAGGAACACCUGAGGCGAAGGCGGCCAGCUGGGCCUGAUCUGACGCUGAGGUGCGAAAGCGUGGGGAGCGAACAGGAUUAGAAACCCCGGUAGUCC